Molecule: non-coding RNA, 28 nt
Filed under: Homo sapiens (human)
Lineage: Eukaryota; Metazoa; Chordata; Mammalia; Primates; Hominidae
Source: RNAcentral
GAAAACAUCAGAGCCCAACAAUGUGCUG